RNAcentral lists this ribosomal RNA (492 nucleotides) under uncultured bacterium. RNAcentral's name for it is "partial 16S ribosomal RNA". It matches the Rfam family "Bacterial small subunit ribosomal RNA", at positions 28 to 507 of the family's 1533-position model. The record is from RNAcentral.
GAUGAACGCUAGCUACAGGCUUAACACAUGCAAGUCGAGGGGAAACGACAUCGAAAGCUUGCUUUUGAUGGGCGUCGACCGGCGCACGGGUGAGUAACGCGUAUCCAACCUGCCCAUCACUUGGGAAUAACCUUGCGAAAGUAAGACUAAUACCCAAUGAUAUCCCACGAAGGCAUCGGAAUGGGAUUAAAGAUUUAUCGGUGAUGGAUGGGGAUGCGUCUGAUUAGCUUGUUGGCGGGGUAACGGCCCACCAAGGCAACGAUCAGUAGGGGUUCUGAGAGGAAGGUCCCCCACAUUGGAACUGAGACACGGUCCAAACUCCUACGGGAGGCAGCAGUGAGGAAUAUUGGUCAAUGGGCGAGAGCCUGAACCAGCCAAGUAGCGCGCAGGAAGACGGCCCUAUGGGUUGUAAACUGCUUUUAUAAGGGAAUAAAGUGGGUCACGUGUGACUUUUUGCAUGUACCUUAUGAAUAAGAACCGGCUAAUUCCGUG